UACCAAAAAAAAAAAAAAAAUAUCUCAUCGCUUCAUAGUACAGCCGUUCUAGAGAUUACCAAAAACCCUCACUCUCUCAUCCCUCACGCCCUGCCACCGAAGCCGGCUUCGUCAACCUCACCGACCACCCACUGGUUUUAUGGCCUACGGUUAUUCUUAUAUUGGAGCGCCUUUUAAGGAGGUCAGAAUUCAGAGCAGAUACUGUAAUUGGGGCAAGGAUGUCUGAGGUGUAAUUGUGUUGAAAAACCCUAUGGCACCACUACAGCAAGGGAGAUUACAGCAGAAGAUCGGGGCUCCCUUUUUCGUACUUAUAUUACUGUUGGAUAUGCUCAUCUAGAGGAAGAAAUUGGUGAUGAUGUCAUAGCAACAUUGGCAGAGAUUUUUUGUUAUGAUGACAAACCUCUAUUUCUCUCUUUUAUGAAGGAGCUAUUUCAAAGAAAAGUACCAAAAACAGAAGAAGUUAGAAAGAAGGAAUCAUCUGAUUAUCAAGCUAAAUAUUGCCCACCAAAAAUUUUGCAUGGAAUUUGUCAGUUUGGCGUAAUAGAUUGUGCCAUCGCUUUUCUCGGAGGGGAGACCGGUUUAACGAUGGAUUAUAUCCAUUGCAUUUAGCAGCUAAUGGUUUAUCAUAUGAAAUGAUUGCGACAUUGCUUAGCCAUGGAGCUCAGACUGAUGUCAGAACCAUAGAGGGUAAAUUUAGGGGCGACUUGUUUCCUCUCAACGUAUCACUUGAAACAGUAAGUUAUCAUCGAUCCUUGAUUGAUUGGACCCCAAAACAAUCUAUCUUCAAAUUGAUCGUUGUUCUUUGUCUGCCUCAAAUGAAAGUACCAUUAGAAAUUAAUAGGUUGCUGGCAUGGAACACAAAGGAGGUUGAUAAAAUAUUUAUUCAUUAUGCUAUGGAGGGAGAACUUAUUGAGAUGGCUACUCUACUGAUGGUUGCUCGAGAAAAGUUAAUCCCUUUGAGCAUGUCAAUACGCAAAAGCAUCAUUGAAGAGAUUGUAGGACUAACUGAAGAUGAAAUCAAAUUGAUCGGAAGUCACAAGAAUGAUAAGUUGGUUGAAGAGAUUGUAGGACUAACUCAAGAUGAAAGCAAGUUGCUCGGAAUUAAUAAGAUUGGUAAGUUGGUUCGGUCGCUUAACGAUAUUAAGGCAGCAAUGACGCAGGGAAUAUUGUUGCUCAAAGUGUUUGAGAAGGCUGGUGUUGCUCUUGAAAAAUACAGGCAGUUAGUACAGAGUGAAAUGCCAAAAGAAAAGGUGGUCAACGACAUUAAGGCGCUGCUUGAGAGAGCCGGGUUUGUUAAAAACGACAAAGAUGUUGAUUUAAGUGACAUUGACUGUGAAAGUGAAAGUAUCAAAGAGGCAACGGAAGAAUUAGAAGAGAGUUUAACAUUGAGGUCUUAUUCAAAGGAUCUCUGGAUGCCACCUCCCUCACUGUCUAACAGUUUUUCCAAGGAAAAGAGUUCGGUCAUAUAUAAAACUUUUAGAACAUUCAUCGAAUAUGGGCCCCUUGUUUUUACGCCUUCGUCACGGUCAUACGUUACAUUCCCGCUCAUGGAUAAAAAGACACAUCGUGUUGCUAUAAGUGUUAACUUUUCGAGAACCCCUAGACCCCCAGCAAUGAUAGUAUCUGCGGCAUAUCUUCUAUCAAGAAAUCAGUUUGCCUCCUUGGCAUUAGCAAUCAAGAAGAGGUUAACUUGCAUAUGAUUGGCAAAUAAGAAGAGAGUUUAACAUUGAGGUCUUAUUCAAAGGAUCUCUGCAUGCCACCUCCCUCACUGUCUAACAGUUUUUCCAAGGAAAAGAGUUCAGACACAUGUAAAACUAUUAGAACAUUCAUCCAAUAUGGGCCCCUUGUUUUUAUGCCUUCAUCACGGUCAUACUUUACAUUCCCACUCAUGGAUAAAAAAAAGACACAUCCUAUUCCUAUAGGUGUUAAAUAUUCGAGAACUGGUAGACCCCCAGCAAUGAGAGUAUCUGCGGCAUAUCUUCUAUCAAGAAAUCAGUUUGCCUCCUUGGCAUUAGCAAUCAAGAAGAGUAUAACUUGCAUAUGAUUGGCAAAUAAGUCAAUGGACUCAUGAUUGCACUGGGGGUUGACUUGGCCACUGUUUGAAUUGUAAAUGGAAGCUGUUAUAAGGGCACUAAAGGCCGUGCAUUUUCUUAAGAAGCAAAGCUGGGAGGCUUAUGCAAGUGACAAAUAAAAUACAGAAGAUCCUUCUUCUACUCAUGAUGCCGUGUUUUAUAGUUGUUAUUUUAUUAUUUAUUUGAGUUCUAAUCUCUCAACUUUGGCAGAGAGGAAGCCUUAGUAAGUUAGUCUUGUAACUCUAUGUUUUCAAUUGUUAAAUUUGUUUGAUGUUCAUACUAACUCAAUAAAAUAUUUAAACAAUUUUAAAUGCAUGUUCCAGUUUGUUAA
Cornus florida is the source of this 2403-nucleotide RNA transcript. RefSeq lists it as uncharacterized. NCBI's taxonomy places the organism in Eukaryota, Viridiplantae, Streptophyta, Magnoliopsida, Cornales, Cornaceae. The transcript has 13 exons. The record is from RefSeq and is a predicted model, not a curated record.